GACGAACGCUGGCGGCGUGCUUAACACAUGCAAGUCGAACGAUGAACCCGGAGCUUGCUCCGGCGGAUUAGUGGCGAACGGGUGAGUAACACGUGAGUAACCUGCCCUUGACUCUGGGAUAACUGCUAGAAAUGGUAGCUAAUACCGGAUACGACCCUCGGUGGCAUCACCAGGGGGUGGAAAGAAUUUCGGUCAAGGAUGGACUCGCAGCCUAUCAGCUUGUUGGUGGGGUGAUGGCCUACCAAGGCGACGACGGGUAGCCGGCCCGAGAGGGUGACCGGCCACACUGGGACUGAGACACGGCCCAGACGCCUACGGGAGGCAGCAGUGGGGAAUAUUGCACAAUGGGCGCAAGCCUGAUGCAGCAACGCCGCGUGAGGGAGGACGGCCUUCGGGUUGUAAACCUCUUUUAGUAGGGAAGAAGCGAAAGUGACGGUACCUGCAGAAAAAGCACCGGCUAACUACGUGCCAGCCGCCGCCGUAA
RNAcentral lists this ribosomal RNA (484 nucleotides) under uncultured bacterium. Its description in RNAcentral is "partial 16S ribosomal RNA". It matches the Rfam family "Bacterial small subunit ribosomal RNA", at positions 28 to 523 of the family's 1533-position model. The record is from RNAcentral.